RNAcentral lists this ribosomal RNA (250 nucleotides) under uncultured bacterium. RNAcentral's name for it is "partial 16S ribosomal RNA". It matches the Rfam family "Bacterial small subunit ribosomal RNA", at positions 525 to 775 of the family's 1533-position model. The record is from RNAcentral.
ACGUAGGGAGCAAGCGUUGUCCGGAUUUACUGGGCGUAAAGGGUGCGUAGGUGGUUUUUUAAGUCAGGAGUGAAAGGCUACGGCUCAACCGUAGUAAGCUCUUGAAACUGUAUAACUUGAGUGCAGGAGAGGUAAGUGGAAUUCCUAGUGUAGCGGUGAAAUGCGUAGAUAUUAGGAGGAACACCAGUGGCGAAGGCGACUUACUGGACUGUAACUGACGCUGAUGAGCGAAAGCGUGGGGAGCAAACAG